RNAcentral lists this ribosomal RNA (229 nucleotides) under uncultured bacterium. RNAcentral's name for it is "partial 16S ribosomal RNA". It matches the Rfam family "Bacterial small subunit ribosomal RNA", at positions 568 to 796 of the family's 1533-position model. The record is from RNAcentral.
UGCGCAGGCGGACUAUUAAGUCAGUGGUGAAAUCUCUCGGCUCAACCGAGAAACUGCCAUUGAAACUGAUAGCCUUGAGUGUAGUUGUAGUAGGCGGAAUAUAGCAUGUAGCGGUGAAAUGCUUAGAUAUGCUAUAGAACACCGAUCGCGAAGGCAGCUUACUAAACUAUCACUGACGCUCAUGCACGAAAGCGUGGGGAGCAAACAGGAUUAGAUACCCUGGUAGUCC